RNAcentral lists this ribosomal RNA (477 nucleotides) under uncultured bacterium. RNAcentral's name for it is "partial 16S ribosomal RNA". It matches the Rfam family "Bacterial small subunit ribosomal RNA", at positions 29 to 523 of the family's 1533-position model. The record is from RNAcentral.
AGUGAACGCUGGCGGCGUGCUUAACACAUGCUAGUCGAACGAUGAAGCUUUAGCUUGCUAGAGCGGAUUAGUGGCGCACGGGUGAGUAAUGUAUAGUUAAUCUGCCCUUUAGAGGGGGAUAACAGUUGGAAACGACUGCUAAUACCCCAUACUCCUUCUCUAUUAAUUAGAGUUGGGAAAGUUUUUUCGCUAAAGGAUGAGACUAUAUGGUAUCAGCUAGUUGGUGGGGUAAUGGCUCACCAAGGCAAUGACACCUAGCUGGUCUGAGAGGAUGAUCAGCCACACUGGAACUGAGACACGGUCCAGACUCCUACGGGAGGCAGCAGUGGGGAAUAUUGCACAAUGGAGGAAACUCUGAUGCAGCAACGCCGCGUGGAGGAUGACACAUUUCGGUGCGUAAACUCCUUUUAUAUGGGAAGAUAAUGACGGUACCAUAUGAAUAAGCACCGGCUAACUCCGUGCCAGCCGCCGCAGUAA